UACAGAGGUCUCAAGCGUUGUUCGGAUUCAUUGGGCGUAAAGGGUGCGUAGGCGGCGCGGUAAGUCGGGUGUGAAAUCUCGGAGCUUAACUCCGAAACUGCAUUCGAUACUGCCGUGCUUGAGGACUGGAGAGGAGACUGGAAUUUACGGUGUAGCGGUGAAAUGCGUAGAUAUCUGGAGGAACACCGGUGGCGAAGGCGACAUCCUGGACCAACACUGACGCUGAGGAGCGAAAGCCAGGGGAGCAAACGGG
This 253-nucleotide ribosomal RNA is filed under the name uncultured bacterium. RNAcentral describes it as "partial 16S ribosomal RNA". It matches the Rfam family "Bacterial small subunit ribosomal RNA", at positions 524 to 776 of the family's 1533-position model. The record is from RNAcentral.